CAACCGUUUAUCCCGCCCCUCGGAUUGAGCCCUGUCAAUUUGGGACAGAGAGGCCGAGUGGACUGGUUAUAUUAAACUUUGAGUUUAAAGUUGAAUCCCGAAGCACAUUGUGGAGGACUUCGCGGUGCUCAAGACUCCCAGAACAUCUUCAGACGGGCUGCUGUGAUGAUGAUGACUCAGUUUCCCCACAGCGAACCAUUAUUAAACUGCUCCUGCAGCCACUCCUGAGCUGAUGAGCUGUCUGCUGCUAGUGCUAACUGCACUUUCACACACAAAACAAAGAAAGUGAACAUGUUACCUUUCGCACCAUGCCCUCCGACUUCUGGACAUUGAAGUUUCUGGCUAAAAAAGAAGUUGUCGUUUCAGGAAAUAGAGUGCGUCCCGCUUCCUCCCCUUCUGGUCUUCUUCCCCCUGGUCACGCCCUCGGACCUGGGGUCAUCUGCAAUUGGCUGUCGAUGGUUCCUCUGCUCAUUCACCACCACCAGUGUCUGGACUCCAUCGGGGGAUAUGUUUGGGUUUCCUUAAACCCUUUAGGACAUUUGGGUUCGAUGGAGUCCAAUCUCCAGAGACUUGUACAUUUACAUGUUUGUCUGUACAAUAAAUAUGUUCAUAAUUGCAAGGAAGUCUCUCCUGAUUGAACUAGUGAUCCUGCCUGAUCCUGUCUUAUUGUUUUGUCUGUUGGCACCUUUUUCCAACAAGGGCAAUAGUGUCAAAAACAUCGUAUAAACGUCUUAAGACAACCAACAGAAUAGGUGUCGAUGGAAGCAACCAGUAGAUUAGUAAAAUGUGGUGUGCAAAUGUAAAAAAUAAAUAUCACCAAUUGCACAAGA
Long non-coding RNA from Perca fluviatilis (European perch), 830 nucleotides. RefSeq lists it as uncharacterized. The transcript is spliced from 5 exons. Lineage: Eukaryota; Metazoa; Chordata; Actinopteri; Perciformes; Percidae. The record is from RefSeq and is a predicted model, not a curated record.